GAUGAACGCUAGCGGGAGGCCUAAUACAUGCAAGUCGAGCGGUAGAGUGACUUCGGUUGCUUGAGAGCGGCGAACGGGUGAGUAACGCGUACACAAUCUACCUUUAAGAGGGGAAUAGCCCUGGGAAACUGGGAUUAAUGCCCCCAUGGCAUCACGAGACGGCAUCGUUUUGUGAUUAAAGCUGAGGUGCUUAGAGAUGAGUGUGCGUCUGAUUAGCUAGUUGGUGCGGUAACGGCGCACCAAGGCGACGAUCAGUAGGGGGCGUGAGAGCGUGGACCCCCCANACGGGGUACUGAGACACGGACCCCGAUCCUACGGGAGGCAGCAGUAAGGAAUAUUGGUCAAUGGGAGAAACUCUGAACCAGCCAUCCCGCGUGCAGGAAGAAUGCCCUAUGGGUUGUAAACUGCUUUUAUCUGGGAAGAAAAGUCGGCAUUUAUGCUGAUCUGACGGUACCAGAGGAAUAAGCACCGGCUAACUCCGUGCCAGCAGCCG
Molecule: ribosomal RNA, 493 nt
Filed under: uncultured bacterium
Lineage: Bacteria
Description: bacterial SSU rRNA
Rfam family: Bacterial small subunit ribosomal RNA
Source: RNAcentral